UUAACUUAUUUGCUUGUUUACUCAGAGAUGCCACAGAGAUGCAGAGUUUCGUACCUCCGGCGGGCGGCCCCACACCCCGGAGGGGUGGGGCCACGGCCCGGGGCCCGGAGACCGGGCCCGCGAGCGCUCCCGCCGAAGCAACGCUGAUGGAUAGGUUCGCGAUGGUUAUAAGCAGCCUUUCGGCGCUUCUUGUAAUGAUCCCUCCGCUGGUUCACCAACGGAGA
This 224-nucleotide unclassified non-coding RNA is filed under the name uncultured fungus. RNAcentral describes it as "sequence contains ITS1". The record is from RNAcentral. Lineage: Eukaryota; Fungi.